CGAACAGGAUUAGAUACCCUGGUAGUCCACGCCGUUAACUAUGCUCACUCGCUGUUGGCAAUAGAUCGUCAGCGGCUAAGGGAAACCGAUAAUUGAGCCACCUGGGGAGUACGAUCGCAAGAUUGAAACUCAAAGGAAUUGACGGGGGCCCGCACAAGCGGAGGAACAUGUGGUUUAAUUCGAUGAUACGCGAGGAACCUUACCUGGGCUUAAAUGUAGAGUGCAUAAAGUGGAAACAUUUUUUCCUUCGGGACUCUUUACAAGGUGCUGCAUGGUUGUCGUCAGCUCGUGCCGUGAGGUGUCGGGUUAAGUCCCAUAACGAGCGCAACCCCUAUCGUUAGUUACCAGCACGUAUUGGUGGGGACUCUAGCGAAACUGCCGGUGUAAACCGUGAGGAAGGUGGGGAUGACGUCAAAUCAGCACGGCCCUUAUGUCCAGGGCUACACACGUGUUACAAUGGUCGGUACAGUGGGCAGCCACAUAGCAAUAUGGAGCUAAUCUCAANAGCCGAUCUCAGUUCGGAUUGGAGUCUGCAACCCGACUCCAUGAAGGUGAUUCGCUAGUAAUCGCGCAUCAGCCAUGCGCGGUGAUACGUUCCCGGNCCUGACACACCGCCCGUCAGCCAUGGAAGUUUG
RNAcentral lists this ribosomal RNA (635 nucleotides) under uncultured organism. Its description in RNAcentral is "bacterial SSU rRNA". It matches the Rfam family "Bacterial small subunit ribosomal RNA", at positions 769 to 1414 of the family's 1533-position model. The record is from RNAcentral.